GCUUUUAUUGACUCGAUGGCACAUCUCGCAAGCAUACAAAACAAGAAGCUAUGGACACUAGGACCGAUUCAGCUCCCCAUACAAGAUCUUGCUAUCCUAACCGACCACCUAUGUUUGGAUUGGCUAAACAAACAACCUCCAAAAUCAGUUCUUUAUGUAUCUUUUGGAACGUCCACUUCAUUUUCAGCUGAACAAAUCAAGGAGAUUGCAAUUGGUUUAGAGCUAAGCAAACAGAGGUUCAUAUGGGUAUUGAGAAAUGCUGAUAAAGGAGAUCCCGUUACUAAUAAAUGCGAAGAUAACAGAACAGUACUACUUGUGUUGCCUGAAGGAUUUGAGGAAAGGGUAAAAGGCGUGGGCUUAGUGGUGAGAGACUGGGCACCCCAACAAGAAAUCUUGGCUCAUUCUUCUACCGGUGGAUUCAUGAGUCAUUGUGGCUGGACUUCUUGCUUAGAAAGCAUUAUUGCAGGAGUGCCAGUAGCUGCUUGGCCUAUCCAAUUUGACCAACCAAAAAACAGUUUUUUGCUCGCAGAAAUAUUGAAAAUAGGGAAAUUCUGAGAUCAAACACUAAUUUGGAAUUGUAAUUAAAAUUAAGUUAAAAAAUAUCUGAAAAAAGGGAAAAAUUCUCUGGUCAAAUGAGCACUAAGAAUAAUAAGUAAAUAAAUUUAAUUUUACCGGGUAAAAAUUAUGCAAUUUUUACGUUGAAUAAAUAAAUAAGAUGAAUAAUUAGAAAAUAAAGGCCUUGAAUAAUAUGUGAAGAGUACUUCAUGUGAUGUAUAUAUGUCAUGCAAACUUUUACAUUGAAUAGAUAAAUAAGACAAAUAAUUAGAAAAUACGGGCCUUGAAUAAUACACCCUCCGUUCAUAAUAAAUAAAUUGUUGAAUUUUGACGCACAUAUUAAGAAAAAAACAUUAAAGAUAUAAAUUUAACACAAUUUUUUAUUUUUAUCCCACAAAAAAAAUUGAUCUUUUAAUACCUUUUCAAAAGUUAAUUGGUUUUCAAAUCAUAAGGGUAAAUUUGAAAAAAAAUUAAGGAAAAAGUAUUAAAGACAUAAAUUUAACACAACUUUUCAUUUUUAUCCAAAAAAAAAAAGUUGGAUCUUUUAAUAUCUUUUCAAAAGUUAAUUGAUUGUUAAAUCAUAAGGGUAAAUUUGAAAAAAAAAUCAAUGAUUCAUUUAUUUUGAAAUAUUAAUAAAUACCCCAAUAAUUCACUUAUUUUGAAACGAAGGGAAUAGAUAAAGAAGAGUACUUCAUGUGAUGUAUAUAUGUUAUGGAAUUUCUUACAUUGAAAAGAUAAAUAAUUACUCUGCCUAUUAAAAAAUAAUGAUCGAUUUUUAUUUUUAAUAUGUUUUAAAAAAAAAAGAUUUUUUUUAACGACUCUUUAAUUUAAUUUUUUAGUAGAAAUAUUUAAAAUCAUAAAAUUAAAAAACAUUUAAUAUAUUUAAUAUCAUUUUAAUUUGACAUUAUAAAAUUUAUUUUUUUAAAGUUCAUGUCAAGUUAAGAAAAAAAAAAGUCAUUCUUUUUUAAAUACAGGGGAAGGAGUAAAAAAAAGUAAGCGAAUACUUCAUGGGCCGGAUGAAAGUAAGCGAAUACUUCAUGGGCCGGAUGUAUACAUGAUGAAUGUGAAUAGGUGCGUAAAUUUCUAUAUAAAUCCUUGGUAAGAGCAACCCACUCUAUUCAAAAAUUUCCAAGAAAUAAAACAAUAUAUAGCUAGCUUGGCUGUAGGUUUGAUAUUCAUGGAUAACAGAGAGAGUAUUGUUGCAAACCAAGAGGAACUAAAAGAAGAUGAUGUUGCUGUAGUUAUAGUCCCAUUAAUUCUUCAAAGCCAUCUCCGACAGCUUCUCCAUUUGGCCUGCCGAAUCUCCUCCUACGGUCUACCAGUCUACUAUCUUGGCUCAGCCACCUCCAACAGUCAAGCUAGGCUCCGGUCAACUACCUUAAAUCCUUCUGACAUAGCCAAGAUCCACUUCCAUGACCUCCAAUUUGAUACUCAAGAUCCUCCUCCAGAUAUCCCCAUACAUGUUUGGAAUGCUUCUAUGCGUUCACGUGAGCCCAUUGCUUCCUUCCUUCGAGAUAUCUCGUCUAAGGUAAGACGAGUCGUCGUUAUUCACGAUCUUUUAAUGUCUUAUAAUAUUAUGGAUAUUUCUUCCCUUCCCAAUGGAGAAUCCUAUGUAUUCUACUGCCUUCCCAUUUUCGAUAUGUAUUGUAGUCACUACGCUGCAGUAGCGGGGUUGCCCAUUCCACUUGAAGAAGAACUUCUUAAGAAGUUACCAUCUAAUGAUGGAUGUUACAACCCUGAAGAUGUCAUGCACCAUUCAAAACUUCUGUCACAGUGUACAGGCUUCAACGCCGGUGAUAUCUACAAUACAAGCCAAGUAAUUGAAGGUAAUGCUUUUAUUGACUCGAUGGCACAUCUCGCAAGCAUACAAAACAAGAAGCUAUGGACACUAGGACCGAUUCAGCUCCCCAUACAAGAUCUUGCUAUCCUAACCGACCACCUAUGUUUGGAUUGGCUAAACAAACAACCUCCAAAAUCAGUUCUUUAUGUAUCUUUUGGAACGUCCACUUCAUUUUCAGCUGAACAAAUCAAGGAGAUUGCAAUUGGUUUAGAGCUAAGCAAACAGAGGUUCAUAUGGGUAUUGAGAAAUGCUGAUAAAGG
Molecule: long non-coding RNA, 2655 nt
Filed under: Capsicum annuum
Lineage: Eukaryota; Viridiplantae; Streptophyta; Magnoliopsida; Solanales; Solanaceae
Description: long non-coding RNA (CANN_LNC011601)
Source: RNAcentral